Molecule: ribosomal RNA, 388 nt
Filed under: uncultured bacterium
Lineage: Bacteria
Description: bacterial SSU rRNA
Rfam family: Bacterial small subunit ribosomal RNA
Source: RNAcentral
GACGAACGCUGGCGGCGUGCUUAACACAUGCAAGUCGAGCGGUAAGGCCCUUUCGGGGGUACACGAGCGGCGAACGGGUGAGUAACACGUGGGUGACCUGCCCUCAGCUCUGGGAUAAGCCUGGGAAACUGGGUCUAAUACCGGAUAUGACUCCACGGUGCAUGUCGUGGGGUGGAAAGCCUUGUGCGGCUGAGGAUGGGCCCGCGGCCUAUCAGCUUGUUGGUGGGGNGAUGGCCUACCAAGGCGACGACGGGUAGCCGGCCUGAGAGGGCGACCGGCCACACUGGGACUGAGACACGGCCCAGACUCCUACGGGAGGCAGCAGUGGGGAAUCUUGCGCAAUGGGCGAAAGCCUGACGCAGCGACGCCGCGUGAGGGAUGACGGCCU